CUUCUAGCUUGCUAGGUGGAUUAGUGGCGCACGGGUGAGUAACGCAUAGAUGACAUGCCCUUUAGUUUGGGAUAGCCACUAGAAAUGGUGAUUAAUACCAAAUACUACCCUACGGGGGAAAGAUUUAUCGCUAAAGGAUUGGUCUAUGUCCUAUCAGCUUGUUGGUGAGGUAAAGGCUCACCAAGGCUAUGACGGGUAUCCGGCCUGAGAGGGUGAACGGACACACUGGAACUGAGACACGGUCCAGACUCCUACGGGAGGCAGC
Molecule: ribosomal RNA, 265 nt
Filed under: uncultured Helicobacter sp.
Lineage: Bacteria; Pseudomonadati; Campylobacterota; Epsilonproteobacteria; Campylobacterales; Helicobacteraceae
Description: partial 16S ribosomal RNA
Rfam family: Bacterial small subunit ribosomal RNA
Source: RNAcentral